AAGUCGUAACAAGGUUUCCGUAGGUGAACCUGCGGAAGGAUCAUUAUUGAAUACGCUGGUCUCUGAUGCUGGCCCUUCACUGGGCAUGUGCUCGAGCCAACUAUUUAUCUUCUCUUGUGCACCUUUUGUAGUCUUUUGAAAAUAGAAGUGAGCCCUCGCAGCAAUGCGGUCUGGGGGACUGGGCCUUACCCGCUCUUCCCCUGCUUGCUUCUUCGCAGCAAUGCGGUUUGGGGGCGUCUGCGUAACCUGCUCGCGCCCCUGUGUUUCAAAAGGCUAUGUUUUAACAUACACUAUAAAGUUACAGAAUGUCUUUUAAAGGCUGCUUGCAGUCAUUAAACCUAUACAACUUUCAGCAACGGAUCUCUUGGCUCUCCCAUCGAUGAAGAACGCAGCGAAAUGCGAUAAGUAAUGUGAAUUGCAGAAUUCAGUGAAUCAUCGAAUCUUUGAACGCACCUUGCGCUCCUUGGUAUUCCGAGGAGCAUGCCUGUUUGAGUGUUAUGAAAUUCUCAACUGCCCCAGGCUUUGUGGCCUGCAGGUGAAGUUGGACUUGGAGGUAUUAUGCUGGCGCAUGAAUGGGCUUUUGCGGCCCUGCCUUGCUUGUUGGCUCCUCUUGAAUGCAUGAGCUUUCCAAUCCUUGGCAAAGUAUCGUCGAUGUGAUAAUUUGUCUACGUCGCCCGAGAAAGCCGAAAGGGGAAAUCUUUGAUCACG
RNAcentral lists this ribosomal RNA (708 nucleotides) under uncultured fungus. RNAcentral describes it as "eukaryotic LSU rRNA". The stretch from base 345 to 498 matches the Rfam family "5.8S ribosomal RNA". Lineage: Eukaryota; Fungi. The record is from RNAcentral.